This 1753-nucleotide long non-coding RNA is filed under the name Gallus gallus (chicken). Lineage: Eukaryota; Metazoa; Chordata; Aves; Galliformes; Phasianidae. The record is from RNAcentral.
CUUCAAUCUGUUUGAGCAUAGGACAAACCAAAAGCCAUGUGUCCCAUCUCCACUGAAUUGAUGUGUAAGAGGUCAGAAAGAGCAACAGCUUUUUGAAGAUUGAUUAAUAAAGAACAUGAUGAUGAGCCUAAGUUCAAAAAGGAAGAGAGAUGAAUGCUGACUGGAUUUCAGGAUUGGCUGCAAAAGCUGUACUGUAGAAGACCUCACUCACUUUUAAGGGGAGUUGCCUCUUUUGAAGAGCUGAAAGUAGGCAGAAUUCCCAGAUUUUCCAGCACCAGAUCUUCCUUGGCUAUUUGGACUUAUUUUGCAGUCAUGUUAGCCAUCAUCCAUGUUGUUUGUUUCUUUCUGUUUAGCAUGAUUUCACUAAUAGUCAAAAUUUGCUAGCCCAGAUAGUGUCCCUGAUGCUUUUGCCUGAAACAUCUCUGUGGAAUGUCACUGAAAAAAAGGAAAUAGAAGAAAAAAAAAAAAAAAAGUGAUUCAGAACAUAAUUUGGCUGACAAAAGCAAUGAAGCAAUAACCAUUCAACUCCAUGCAUGGAAAGGUUUUUGCUGUGGGACAUGGAGUCUACUGGGCUGUUCUUUGUGAGAAGAGUCUAGAAGCUGCCCAUUAUAGAUACAAGCCAGUUCCAUCUGCUGCUGUCCAAAGCAGAGCCAGUGAGAGAUGCUGAUUUUGCCUCUGUAAGAGCAUAUCUAAGAAAGGAGAAAAAAUCUGCUGUGCAGCAGCAGCUGGGAGAAAUGAGUGAGAAAAUGUAGAGUGAAAUAAUUCUGCAGAUGCAAAGAUCAGUGCAGAAGGAGGGGGAGGAGGUGCUCCAGAUACAGAAGCAGAAGUACCCUGCAGCCUGUGUGACACCUAUAGCAGGCUGUCUCCCUGCAGCCCGUGGGCACCACAUGAAACAGAUCUCCACACUGAGUCCCAUGGAGGAGCCCACAGGGGUGCAGGUGAAUGCAACCCACUGAAGGCCCAUAGAGGAGAAGAUUCUGUGACAAACCUGCAGCUUUUGGAGAGGAGUCCAUGGUGGAGCAAGAGGUCUGAGAGAGCUAUCACCCAUGGGGGACCCAUGCUGGAACUCACUGUUCUUGAAGGAUGGCCUCCAUGCUACAGUCCCAUCAAGGAGCAGUUACUGAAGAAAUACAGCCUGUGGUAAGCUGAUGUUGGAUUAGUUUAGGAGAGAUGGCAUCCCAUGGGAGAUAAUGUAUGCUGGAGCAGAGGAAGAGAGUGAAGAUGAAGGAGCAGCAAAAAUGAAGCAUUACAGACUGACCAUAGCCCAUUCUCCCUGCUUCCUUGUUCUGCAGUGGGAGAGGAGUAAGAAGAAGGUGUUUUUAUUUUGCUUUAAUUUCUCACUGUUCUAGUUUCCUAUUAAUAGCAAAUAAAUUAUAUUAAUCUCCUUACACUGAGUCAUUUUGCUCACGACAAUAACUGUUAAGUAAGUGGUCUUCCUAUCCUUAUCUAACCCUUGAGCUCUUGUCCGUUGUAUUUUCUUCCCUUCUUCCUUUGGAAUAAAUAAAUAACUAAAUAAAUGAAAAGAUAGCUUUGAUGACUUUCAAGAAUCAUCUUUUCUAGGUUCAUUUAGACUUAAUGCAAAAAUAAUAAUAAUUGUUUGAAAUAGCAUCUUGUAUUCAGCUAAAAAAAAUAUAUCCUAAAAGAACAAAACAGGUACUUAGAAAUGGUACUUAGUAUUUUGUCAGAGCAUGCAACUCACAAACUCACAUCAGUGCAGUAUAACUGUUUUUAGACAUGGAGGCAAAGACAGACA